Molecule: long non-coding RNA, 1370 nt
Filed under: Capsicum annuum
Lineage: Eukaryota; Viridiplantae; Streptophyta; Magnoliopsida; Solanales; Solanaceae
Description: long non-coding RNA (CANN_LNC018188)
Source: RNAcentral
CGUCGGCCCACAAUGAGAUAAUUCUAAAAUUCUCCGUCCUAACAUUAAAUGUCACUAUGCAUCUUUUAUCUUCAUGAAUACCUAGAAAAUAGAUAAAUCCUUCCAUGCAAAGUCCUCUGCUCAGUAACAGUAAUGACGAACAAGGUUCACUUUUAAUCUCUCUCCAUGAUUCAUUUGAGCCGAGAGUUAAAACCCAAUGUUUUGUGAGUGAGUUCGGAUCUAGGGGAUGACUACUCAUCAAUAUUUUAUACUUCUUUCCAUCCAACUCAAAACCAAAUGAAUAGGAAUAACAGGUAAAUCUAUGAUCAAUGGAAUCGAGGCAAGGAAGAUAUCUUACUAUUCUUGUAGUCGGAUUAUAAAUAACAGGGGGAUGCUCCAUUGCACUCCAUAGGGUGUCUGCCAAAUCGCGCCGGGUACAUUAUGGAGUAUUAAUUGAGUUGAACAUAUAUAACUUGUUUAUCCAAAAAAAGGAAAAAUGUAUGUACUCAUUUUUCUCGGUAAUCAGGAAUUGAAAAUCCAGUUAUUUCAGUCUCUGUUUACGUUGGUGGAAAAAGUAAAAAGAAGCUAAGUCUCUAAUAUUACGAUUAGAGUUCCAUUUUGCUAAAAGAAAACAAGAGACGAUGAUGUCUUCCAUGAGAAUUAAUACCUUAAAAAACAGAAAAACUAUGCUCCAAGAUAAUCUAUUUCAGAAUUAACAAUAGAUACACGAUAAGAGCCUAUCUACAUGACUGUAGAUACCAAUAAUCCUAACAUUUUCUGCAAGGUCCGUGAUUUUUGUUUCUCUCUAACUCUUCUUCUUCAAAUCAUAAUAAACAAUCCAGCUUCCGUUGAACAUCGAGUUAGAGAUGAACACAAUCUCACCAUCAGGAGUACUACCAGAAAUGCAACCAAUGAAAUUCUUCAUCAAGCUAGAACAAAGUGUCUCAGAAAACGUGAUGGUGUGCUUCACCCAUUCUUCAUUUUCACAACUCUGUAAAAUCCUCAAAUAGAUCUCAUUCACAUUCCAUCUCGACUGACUGAUGACAGCUAAUUUUCCUUUAACUUGCAUCAAGUUACAAAAUAUUCCUCCAAGAACAUCUAUUACGUCGGCCCACAAUGAGAUAAUUCUAAAAUUCUCCGUCCUAACAUUAAAUGUCACUAUGCAUCUUUUAUCUUCAUGAAUACCUAGAAAAUAGAUAAAUCCUUCCAUGCAAAGUCCUCUGCUCAGUAACAGUAAUGACGAACAAGGUUCACUUUUAAUCUCUCUCCAUGAUUCAUUUGAGCCGAGAGUUAAAACCCAAUGUUUUGUGAGUGAGUUCGGAUCUAGGGGAUGACUACUCAUCAAUAUUUUAUACUUCUUUCCAUCCAACUCAAAACCAAAUGAAUAGGAA